UUUCGCGCUCCUCCCUUUCCGCUCUUCCUCCCCGCCUCCUGUCCCCCUCGGCCCCUCCUCCGUCUCUUCCUCCUCCUGCUCCGCCUCCUCCGCCUCUUCCUCCUGCUGCUCCCGCUCCUCCUCCUUCUCUGAGCUCCGGACGUCCUGCAGCGUUGUGGCGAUGGAUGGGCGAGCAUCUCAAUUCGGAGGAGGAAAACCUGCCGCCGACAUGGGAGUCCCCUCAAUGCACCUCAAGUUUGAAUUGUUCUCAGGAAGAAGUCUCAGUGACAAGGGAACCAGUUUCUUCCAAAUGCCGGAGAUUUUAUCCAAGGACCUCUCUUUUGUUUGGAGGAUUUGCUCAUUUUUAUUUUAAAUAUGUGUGCGCACACUGCAGUUUGGAGAUCAGAUGACUGCUUGGUAAUACGAAGUUGUCUCCUACUGAGUUUGUGUGUGUGUGUGCCACAGGACAACCUCACGUGCCAUCCUCAAGAAUGCCAUCCCCUUCCUUGAGACAUGGUUUCCUCAUUGGCCUGGAGGUUACUGACUGUGACAGUCCUGCAAGCAAUUGUCCUUCUCUGCCUCCUCACUUCUGGAAUUGCAAGUGUAUACUUUUAUGCCCAGCAUUCUUAUAUAUGAAUUCUAGCAAUAUGAGACUCAGGUCCCAUGCUUGAAGAGCAAGAACUUUACUGCUUGAGCUAUUGCCCCAUCCUUAAAAAAAAAAAAAAAAUUAAUGUGGGUGUGUGCUUGUACACAUGCCCGCUCAGACAUGUGACAUGAGGAAGUGAGAGAACAGUCUGUGAGAGUCAUUUCUCUCCUGCUAUGUGUACUGGUACUCAAAUUCAGGUGGUCAGACUUAGUGGUAGGGGCAUCUUCAUCCACUAAGCCUUGGGGGGGCGGGGUAUGAGACAGGAUUUCUCAGUGUAACAGCCCUAGCAAUCCUGGAGCUAGCUCUGUAGACCAGGCUGACCUCGAACUCACAGAUAUCCACCUGCCUCUGCCUCCUGUGUGCUGGGAUUAAAGGCAUGUGCCACCGCUACCACCUGGCAGCCACUAAGCCAUCUUGCAUACUCUUUUUAAUUUUUUUUAUACAAGAUCUCAUGUAUUCCAGGCUAUCCUAUACCUUCACUUACAAUUAGCCAAUUGUUAUGGAACACUGUGUUCUCUGGGAAUGAUGUAGCCAUUACCUUCUUCAACUAUCAGCAGCUCUGAUUUCCUGAAGGAGACCUACACAAGAUUGGGUCCAUUAAUUUAAUUUUUCUUCUUGGAAUGGGAAAGGGCUUAUGAUCCCACAUCCUUCCCUGAGAAUUAUAGACAGUUAACGGUUAGUAAAGGAGGGGGCUUAUGAGGCCACAUCCUUCCCCAAGGAUUUAUAGGCAAUUAAAUAUUGAUGUGAUGUGAGACCAGAGGGCAGGAAUUUGAGGGCCCUUGAACAUAAGGAGAAUAAGGAAGUACCUCUCAGAUGAUGUAUUGGAGGUGAAACAUAUUUAAAUAAAAGUAGAUAGUUUGAGCUCUCCAACAAAAAGUGAAAUAUUUAAUCCUUCAUAAGAGAGAGUUACUUUUGAAGGCCUUUUUGACUGGAAUUGGAAAAUCAUGGGGCCUUGGACAGGAAGGCAUACUGUUUAGCCCCCUCAAUUAUGGAGUUUAGAUAUCAGGCCCUCUUGGUUACAGAGUGUGCAUUUGAGGUCUAAUAGACAGAAACUGAUGGUGUUUAAGAGUGGAAGAUUUCAGUAGACUUAGAGAGAGUAGCAAAGUCACAAACCUCUUAGUGGAAAGAGGGUGUCCCAGUCUACCUUGUGCAGUGGAUGAAGGACUUCAUCACAGUUUAGAAGAUUCACAUCUUCAAGCACACUGUGGCAUGCCUGGCAGCAAUCUGAGCAUCAUCCAUCAGUCAUGAUUGGCAAUCUCAUGUUCUAAGUCCUCUUGAAGAUUAUCAUCAGUUACACUGGUGUGGGCAUGAAGAAUGAGGCCUUUUCAUUCUGGUGACUAUAAUGAAGGAAAGAUGACCUAAGCCUUAGGUUUUAUGAUCUCAGAGCAAAGCUUGGUGAAGUCCCUUGGGUCACACAUGUAUUUUCCUAGUCGUCAUGGUUAGAAUGGAAAUAUCUAAGGUCCUCCAUUAGUGGGAUAAUUCUGAGGUACACGAGCACAUGCUCUGAGGGACCCUUUGAUCCUUGUCCCCUUAAGCAAAAUGGAAAUUCUGAGAUGACUUUAGUAAAAAACAGUCAUUCUUUUGACUCUUCUUGAACAGAGAUUGAUGUCCUUCACUGUUGUUUGUAAUAGCAGAAAGGCCUGAUGACUACUUUAACCCAUGGGAAGUUCUAAUAACCCAUCAUCAAAAGGGCAUGGUGUGAGAUGCGUUGAGAAUAGGGACAUUUUGGAGAGCCUCUAUUCAGAGGGGAAGCUUCUGAGGUCAUUCUGAAAUGAAUUGAUUAGAUAGAAAGUGCCAGGCCUUGUUUAACCAAAUAGCAAGAUCCACUCACUCCAUUGUGCAGAAAGGAAAGGCUUAGCUUACCUUGGGUGAUGGGGUGAUGGUUUAGUUCUGCAUCAUUUGCUUCCAGCUGUUCUGCCCAGCUCCCAUGAUCUAUAUACUACAUCGCCUGUUGAGAAGAAUGCAAGAAGCAAUACAACACUCUUCCAAGAUGUUGAGUGGUUCUGUGGACCUUAUGCUUUCUAAAGGUUGUAUUGUUCUAUGUUUAUCUAUCAAUGAAAGAUGUAAACAUUGCAUUCAGGACAACUAACUUCUGGGCAGAUAACAAGACUAUUAGUUUUAGCUUUCUAUAUUUUGACCUCUGAUCUAAACCUAGUAUCUUCAGAGGUCCCAUUGGUUGCAAGUGUUUUCCUAGCAAACUUGGUUGUAGGGAUUGGCAUAAAGGUAAGAUGAGUCCGGGGGUCCAGUGAAUGUUGCUCAUGAAAGGAAGGGGAAGCUCUAGGGCUUCCCAGUGUCAGAGACUAGAUCUGAAUAUAGAAUGAAGAAAUGAUACCUGAUUGGUCAUGGGAGCCAAUUCUGAAGUCUUAUUCAUCAUUGUGGCAUAGGCCAGACAUCCUUGGGCAAAUAAUUAGAUCUCUGUAGUCUUUUUGGUUAAAGGGCAUAAUCAUAGACCCCCCUUUGCUUUAUACUGGAGUAAAUGUGGGCAGAUCUGAUUCCCACUUAUAAAGCGUGAGUCGUGUAAGAAAUACGUGGUCUGAGGACUCUUUAAUCUUUUGGAAAAGACUUGGAUCAAACUUGCAAAAUAAAAUUUGAGGGCAUUUUCCAUAAAAUGCAUACUUAAGACCAAUUUGGGCAAUUGGGGAAGGUCUAGAAUAGGUUCCGUCCUAGGAGGAAGGUCUGAUAUUCUCUUCAGUGACGUAAGCGUGAGGGAACUUGUGAAGAAGGGAAACACUGGGGCCUUUGUGUAAAAGGGAAAUUUUUGAGCCCUGGUUGGCUAAGGGUGUGAGUUGAAAACCCCUUGGGCAGAGGGGGUAAGUAUCAUACACCAUUCUGUUGCAGGUGAAUGUCACUGCUACCUCAUUCAGUGAAGGAAGGUCCCAUCACUGCACUUCAACUUCCAGCUGUUCUUUAGAGUUCCCACAUCAUCAGUUGAGUCUUGCAUAGUUCGGGAGCAACCAAAGCCUUCUUCAAUGAACCUACAUGGCUGUCCCUGGCAAUGUUGCCUCUUCUUUCAGAUACAGAAGGUUGCACAGAAUACCGGGAAUACCCUGAAUGUCCCAGAAACCCUUGAGAAUAUGGUAAAUGUCGAAGAGAAUCCUGUGAUGAUGUGGUCAGUCCCAGCUCCCCCCUUGUAGACAGCACAUUUUCUAAAUAGAUUUGCUGAGGUGGUGAAUCUUGCAAAGUUACUUUCCCCCCUGAAGACACUUCCUUUAAACCUUGGUCUGUUAGUGAAGGUCUUAUAGGCCCCAUUUGACAUGGGGCAGAUUUCACACAUCCCUGUUCAAAUGGAGAACAUUCCAGAGUUUCCUUGGAAAAUGUUGGUGAUCCUAGUAUCCCUUGGUCACAUAUAGAAGAGCCCACAGCACCUUGGCAGAUGUUGAAAGUCUUAGUGACUCUAGGACAGAGACCAACGUUUCUAAAAACCUUGAGACAGAUUUUAAGGUCUUAUAGAGCUCUUGGUAAGAUGGCAAAGGUUCUGAUGCCUUUGGUGUACAUUCAGAAGGACUGGGAGGUUCCUCCACAGGAGCCUGGAUUCCUGGUACACUUUGAGAUGAUGGAGCUGGUUCUACAGACUCAUGGACAGAUGAUGAUGUCUGUCUAGAACCUUGGGUAGAUGGUGAUGUUCCUAGACAAUGUUCUAAAGUUUGAGGAAAUCUACAAUAUCUAGGAGAAGAUAGAUGGUAAAUAUGCUAAAAUCUCUUUGGCUAAAGAAAGGCCAAGAUCCCCUUGGGAAGAUGGAGAAGGUUCUGGAGUCCCUUGGUCAUGGUUUGAAUGUUGUACAUACUCUUGUACUGAUACGGAAGAUCCCAGAGACCCUUGGGUAAACAGUGAAUUGCCUAAACACCCUUGCUAAUGUGGUGAAGGUCCUAGAGAACCCUGGGUAGUUAUAGACAAUUCUGAACACAGUUGAUCUGACAAUAAAGAUUCCAAAGUCUUUGGUACAGAUGGAGGAGGUUCCAGUGAACCUUUAGAUGAUGGAGAAAAUUGAAGAGCUUUCCAGAGCGAAGAUGACGAUCCCUGAAUCUGUUGGUCAGAAUCACAAGGGCACAAAGCACCAUGAGCAGAAAUAGAAUUUCCCAGAGUUGCUGGGAGAGGUGUCAUAGUUCCUAGAGAUCUUGAUGAAGAUUCUAAAAAUUUCAAAACUGGUGAGAUGGCAAAGAUUCUGAUGUCUUUGGAGUACAUUGGGAAGGUCCCAGACAUCCUUGGAAAUGAGGCUGAAGUGGUAGAGUACCCUUCUUAUCUAAUGGAGCUUCUAUAGCUCUCUGGACAGAAGAUGACGUUUCUAGAGUAACUUUGGAAGAUAAUAAAUUUAGCAGUAUCUCAUGGCAAGAGAGAGAAUACCCAGCUCCUGGGACAGAUGGGACCUGUUUUACAGCCCCUUGGUCAUAAGAAGGGCCUAAAAAUUUUGGGGAAGAUGUGGAUGAUUCUGGAGAACAUUGGAAAAGUGAGGAAUGUCCAAGAGACUCUUGUGAUGGAGAUAAUUCCACAGUUCCUUGGGUAGAUGAAAUAUUUCCUUCAUAACUCUCGUGAUGUGGUGACUGUCCUAGAGUCACUUUGGCAGGAGCAGACAAUUUCUGCCAUACUUUGUCUUGUGCGGACUCUACAAGAGUACCUUGUGAAGUUGGGGUAGUUCCCAGAGACCCUUGAGAAUAUGGAGGAUGUUUCAGAGACAUUUGAUGAGAUGGUGAAGAUUCUACACAUUUCUGUGAUGAUGUGGACAGUGUCACCUUAUUUUGGGAGGAUAAGGAAGAUCCUCCAGCAUCUUGCAGUACAGAAUUGAAAAGGUCAAGAGUUCCCGAAGCAGAUAGGAAAUUUUCUACUGGCCCUGAAUUAGAGUAGGUUUGUAACCCUCUUGGGAAGAUGGCAAUACUUUUAAUUCUCUCUGGGGAAAUUACAAAGGUCCCUGAUUUUCCUGGGAAGGAGAUCUCAGUCGUAGAUCAUCUUGGGCAUAUGCCAAAGGUUCUGUAUUCACUUGAGUAUUUGAUGAAAGUUUCAUAGCCCCUUGAGUAGAUGUGGAUGAUCCUAGAAUAUCCCUGGCAGACAGGGGUGGUCUCAGAGUCCAUGAGACAGUUGGAGACAUUAUUAAAUCCACUUGGGCAGAUGGAGAAGAUCCUAGAGACCCUGCAUUAGAUGGGGAAAUUCCCAAAUCUCCCGUUGAAGAAUUGGAUAUCCCUAGAUUGCCAUGUAUGCAGGUAGAAUCUUCCAGAGUCCCCUGGGAAGACAAGCAAGGUCUCCUCCCUUCUUGGGAAGAAACUAAAGGGCAUGAACUCACUUGAACAGAUAAGGAAAUUAUGAAAGGCCCUAGGGAAGAUGAUGUAUGUCCUAGAUUCCCUUGUCCAGAUAAAGGAAUGUCUUUGUUCUCUUUUGAAGAAGGCAUAGAUCCUGAAGAGUCUGAAGCUGUUUGUUGAACCCUGUGGGCAGACUGUCAAGAUCCAACAGGUCCCAGGUAUGAAACAGAGUGUCCUACAGUGCCAUGCCUAGGUUUAGAGAGACCAAAAGUUCCUUCUACACACAGGGAAGGUUCCAAAGGGCAUUGGGAAGAAUGGAAAGGACACAAAUUUGCCUGGGAAGAUAUGGAAAGUUCAAUAGGCCCAUCAUCAGAUACCACAUGUCCUAUGGUAGAUGUAGAAGUUUAGUAUACACCUGGUGCAGAUGAUGAAUAUCCUGGGGACUCCCAGGGAAAUAGCAAAGGUUCUACAUCCCCUUGUGCUGUGAUAGAAAUUUUUGGAGACCCUGGGGCAGAAUUCAAAGUUUCUACCAUCUUUUUGGCAUGCUGGCUAUAUCCCUGAGAUACUGGAGUAGAGGAUGAAUAUGCUACUGUGUUCUGUGCAGAAGUGGACUGUGAGCAUGUAUGUUGUGUAUGUGAGGAACUGCCUGAGAGCCCUUGGGCAGGUGGAGGAUGUACUACACUCCUUUGCGCAGAUGUGGACAAUUCCAUAGACUCUUGUGUAGAUAGGCAGGAACCCAAAGCAUUUGAGCACAGUGAGAAGUUCCUUGACUCCCCUGGUCAAAAGAGGAAAGUCCCAGAGUUUCCUGAGGGCAAGGUAGGUAUACUGAACUUCCUACAUGAGAUGUUUCUCUUACAUGUGGCAAUUGCCCAUGAUAACUAUGUGUAUUUUGGACUAUUCCUUGGAUGUCUUCAGCAGAUAAUGAGGAUGCUAGAGUUCCUUUUAAAGAUGCUGAUGGACUCAGCAAACACUGGGCAGAUACAUUAAGUUCUAGAGGAAGAUGAGCAGAGAAUGGAGGUGCUGGAUCACAUGGGACAUGUGUAGAGAGUUUUCUAGUCUCUUUGUUAAAAGGCUCUUGAGGGCCAGGGACAGAUGGAGAGUUUCCCACAGGCUCUCUGACAGAUGACAAAUGGCUAAGAUUCAUUUGGGCAGGUUGAGAUGUUUCCAGAUUACCAGAGAAACACUGUAAAGGAUCAAGUUCUCCUUGAGGAGAUGAAAAAGUUCCUUGUGCACACACAGAAAGUUCCAGAGGCAAUCCAAAAUAUAACAAAGGUUCAGGAUAUCCUGAACUUUCAGAAAGUUGGAACAUUUCCUGAGAACCUGGGGCAGAUAUUCCAGUACCUGGAGGAGAGGAUAAAGAUCCUAGUGUGCUGUUCAGAUUGGGAAGGAUUUGGAAGUCCUGAGACAGAUGGUGAUUGUUGUGGAGAAUUUUGUGCCGACUGAGAUGUUUUCUGACAGGUUUUAGAUGAAACAGGGUGUUUCUUAGUUCCUUGAUUACACAGCAGUGGUGCUAGAGUCCCUUUGGCAGACACAGAUAAGUCCAGAGACCCUUGGGAAAAUAAGGAUCCACAGGCCCUUCUGCAGCCUGAGACACUCCCAGAGAACUCUGACCAGAUUGCAAAGAUUCUAAUAGUGUCUGGGUAUUUUGGAUAGACCUCAGAGGUUCUGUCAUGGAUGGAAAAGGUCCUACAGUCUGCUUUGAAGAUGUUGAAUUUCCCAAUGUGCCUGUGGCAGCUAAGAGAAACUCCCCAGUGCCCUGGGAAGCAGAAGACUCCGGAUUCCCUUGUGCAUAUUUGGACACUUUCAGAGUUCCUGGUGAUGAUGGGCAUGUUUCCACAGUCCUUUCAUCAGAAUGAGAAAAUAGUGAAGUCACUUGUGUUGAUGAAAAGAGAUCCGGAUGCCCUGGUACCGAUGGAAACUUUCCCCUAGUCACUUGGGUAGAUGGAGAAUUUGUAUAUGGCUCUGGAACUUCUUGGGAAGGUGCUGAACGUUGCAGAGUCCCUUCAGCAGAUUGUGCUGAAUGCAGCAUUUCCUGGGAUGACAUGUUUCAGAUGCCCUUGAGCAAGUUGCAAAGGUUCUAGAUUCUCUUGGCCAGAAGGGAAAGAUUCUGCAGAUCCUUGGGUCGAAGUUAAAUGUCCUCUAGGCACUAGAGGUGAUGGCAAAGCUUCUAUAGUCCUUGUAGCAGACUAAGAAUUUUCCACACCCUCUCUCACACAUG
Alexandromys fortis (reed vole) is the source of this 8071-nucleotide long non-coding RNA. RefSeq lists it as uncharacterized. The record is from RefSeq and is a predicted model, not a curated record. Lineage: Eukaryota; Metazoa; Chordata; Mammalia; Rodentia; Cricetidae. The transcript has 6 exons.